RNAcentral lists this ribosomal RNA (445 nucleotides) under Streptococcus sp. oral taxon 064. RNAcentral describes it as "bacterial SSU rRNA". It matches the Rfam family "Bacterial small subunit ribosomal RNA", at positions 28 to 465 of the family's 1533-position model. Lineage: Bacteria; Bacillati; Bacillota; Bacilli; Lactobacillales; Streptococcaceae. The record is from RNAcentral.
GACGAACGCUGGCGGCGUGCCUAAUACAUGCAAGUAGAACGCUGAAGGAGGAGCUUGCUCUUCUGGAUGAGUUGCGAACGGGUGAGUAACGCGUAGGUAACCUGCCUGGUAGCGGGGGAUAACUAUUGGAAACGAUAGCUAAUACCGCAUAAGAGUAGAUGUCGCAUGACAUUUGCUUAAAAGGUGCAAUUGCAUCACUACCAGAUGGACCUGCGUUGUAUUAGCUAGUUGGUGAGGUAACGGCUCACCAAGGCAACGAUACAUAGCCGACCUGAGAGGGUGAUCGGCCACACUGGGACUGAGACACGGCCCAGACUCCUACGGGAGGCAGCAGUAGGGAAUCUUCGGCAAUGGACGGAAGUCUGACCGAGCAACGCCGCGUGAGUGAAGAAGGUUUUCGGAUCGUAAAGCUCUGUUGUAAGAGAAGAACGAGUGUGAGAGUGGA